GACGAACGCUGGCGGCGUGCUUAACACAUGCAAGUCGUGCGGUAAGGCCCUUUCGGGGGUACACGAGCGGCGAACGGGUGAGUAACACGUGAGCAACCUGCCCUUCACUUUGGGAUAACUGCCGGAAACGGUGGCUAAUACCGGAUAUGACUUCCUCACGCAUGUGGGGUGGUGGAAAUCCUUCGGGCGGUGGGGGAUGGGCUCGCGGUCUAUCAGCUUGUUUGUGGGGUGAUGGCCUACCAAGGCUUCGACGGGUAGCCGGCCUGAGAGGGUGACCGGCCACACUGGGACUGAGAAACGGCCCAGACUCCUACGGGAGGCAGCAGUGGGGAAUAUUGGACAAUGGGCGAAAGCCUGAUCCAGCAACGCCGCGUGAGGGAUGACGGCCUUCGGGUUGUAAACCUCUUUCGCCUGCGACGAAGCGAGAGUGACGGUAGCAGGUAAAGAAGCACCGGCCAACUACGUG
RNAcentral lists this ribosomal RNA (466 nucleotides) under uncultured bacterium. RNAcentral's name for it is "partial 16S ribosomal RNA". It matches the Rfam family "Bacterial small subunit ribosomal RNA", at positions 28 to 507 of the family's 1533-position model. The record is from RNAcentral.